AUGCUAAAGGAUCGCAUUGCCUGGACCAUCACUUGCGUCUAUGGUCCUCAGGGUGAGUCAGAGAAGGUGGCUUUCAUUGAGGAGUUGAGGGCUCUCUCUGCCACGACUGGAAGGCAGUGGCUUCUUUUGGGGGAUUUCAAUCUGAUCACUAAAGCGGCGGACAAGAGCAACGCCAACAUCAAUCGCCGUCUCAUUGGGAAAUUCCGCGGGGCCCUUGACUUCAUGCAGCUAAAAGAGCUACGUAUGUGUGGGAGGCACUUCACCUGGUCCAAUGAGCAAGCAAAUCCGGUCAUGACCAAGAUUGACCACGUUUCCCACUCCGAUGACUGGGAUUUGCUCUUCCCAAAUGCGCAUCUCUAGGCCAUCUCAACGACCUGCUCCGACCAUGCCCCGCUAUUCCUUCAGGGGUGCGUCGACAAUGCGAGGAAGCCAUCCUUCAAGUUUGAGGAGUUCUGGCUGUGA
This 462-nucleotide ribosomal RNA is filed under the name Triticum aestivum (bread wheat). RNAcentral's name for it is "partial small subunit ribosomal RNA". The record is from RNAcentral. Lineage: Eukaryota; Viridiplantae; Streptophyta; Magnoliopsida; Poales; Poaceae.